GAUGAAGAACGUAGCGAAAUGCGAUAAGUAAUGUGAAUUGCAGAAUUCAGUGAAUCAUCGAAUCUUUGAACGCACAUUGCGCCCGCCAGCAUUCUGGCGGGCAUGCCUGUUCGAGCGUCAUUUCAACCCUCGAGCCCCCCCGGGGGCCUCGGUGUUGGGGGACGGCACACCAGCCGCCCCCGAAAUGCAGUGGCGACCCCGCCGCAGCCUCCCCUGCGUAGUAGCACACACCUCGCACCGGAGCGCGGAGGCGGUCACGCCGUAAAACGCCCAACUUUCUUAGAGUUGACCUCGGAUCAGGUAGGAGUACCCGCUGAACUUAAGCAUAUCAAUAAGCGGAGGA
RNAcentral lists this unclassified non-coding RNA (343 nucleotides) under soil metagenome. Its description in RNAcentral is "partial contains 5.8S ribosomal RNA, internal transcribed spacer 2, and large subunit ribosomal RNA". The stretch from base 1 to 120 matches the Rfam family "5.8S ribosomal RNA", at positions 35 to 154 of the family's 154-position model. The record is from RNAcentral.